RNAcentral lists this ribosomal RNA (495 nucleotides) under uncultured crenarchaeote. RNAcentral describes it as "bacterial SSU rRNA". It matches the Rfam family "Archaeal small subunit ribosomal RNA", at positions 860 to 1354 of the family's 1478-position model. The record is from RNAcentral. Lineage: Archaea; Thermoproteati; Thermoproteota.
AGGAAUUGGCGGGGGAGCACCACAAGGGGUGAAGCUUGCGGUUUAAUUGGAGUCAACACCGGGAACCUUACCAGGGACGACAGUUGGAUGAAGGUCAGAUUAAAGGUCUUACCGGACUAGCUGAGAGGAGGUGCAUGGCCGUCGCCAGUUCGUGCCGUGAGGUGUUCUCUUAAGUGAGAAAACGAACGAGACCCGUGCCUUUAGUUGCCAUCGUAUUCCUUCGGGAAUGCAGGCACACUAGAGGGACUGCCUCCGCUAAGGGGGAGGAAGGAGCGGGCCACGGCAGGUCAGUAUGCCCCGGAUUCCCUGGGCCACACGCGAGCUGCAAUGGCUGGGACAAUGAGCUCCGACCCCGAAAGGGGAAGGUAAUCCCCAAACCCAGCCUCAGUUGGGAUUGAGGGCUGCAACCCGCCCUCAUGAACAUGGAAUCCCUAGUAACCGCGUGUCAUCAUCGCGCGGUGAAUACGUCCCUGCUCCUUGCACACACCGCCCGUC